This 593-nucleotide ribosomal RNA is filed under the name uncultured Bacillus sp. RNAcentral describes it as "bacterial SSU rRNA". It matches the Rfam family "Bacterial small subunit ribosomal RNA", at positions 173 to 752 of the family's 1533-position model. The record is from RNAcentral. Lineage: Bacteria; Bacillati; Bacillota; Bacilli; Caryophanales; Bacillaceae.
UAACUUUUCUCUCCGCAUGGAGAGAGAUUGAAAGAUGGCUUCGGCUAUCACUUACAGAUGGACCCGCGGCGCAUUAGCUAGUUGGUGAGGUAACGGCUCACCAAGGCAACGAUGCGUAGCCGACCUGAGAGGGUGAUCGGCCACAUUGGGACUGAGACACGGCCCAAACUCCUACGGGAGGCAGCAGUAGGGAAUCUUCCGAAAUGGACGAAAGUCUGACGGAGCAACGCCGCGUGAGUGAAGAAGGUCUUCGGAUCGUAAAACUCUGUUGUUAGGGAAGAACAAGUAUCGUUCGAAUAGGGCGGUACCUUGACGGUACCUAACCAGAAAGCCACGGCUAACUACGUGCCAGCAGCCGCGGUAAUACGUAGGUGGCAAGCGUUGUCCGGAAUUAUUGGGCGUAAAGCGCGCGCAGGCGGUCUUUUAAGUCUGAUGUGAAAGCCCACGGCUCAACCGUGGAGGGUCAUUGGAAACUGGAAGACUUGAGUGCAGAAGAGGAGAGUGGAAUUCCACGUGUAGCGGUGAAAUGCGUAGAGAUGUGGAGGAACACCAGUGGCGAAGGCGACUCUCUGGUCUGUAACUGACGCUGAGGC